RNAcentral lists this ribosomal RNA (252 nucleotides) under Triticum aestivum (bread wheat). RNAcentral's name for it is "partial small subunit ribosomal RNA". The record is from RNAcentral. Lineage: Eukaryota; Viridiplantae; Streptophyta; Magnoliopsida; Poales; Poaceae.
AUGCCCCCAAGCUCCGCCCCGCCCUCCCCUCCGUCCAGAUCCAUGCGUCAAGGUCAGCACCCUUACCCGCGGCUAGGGAUUCGGGCGCCCCCGUGUUCUUGCCGCCGAGUGCCCAGGUCGGACCGCUGGCCAACGAGCAGCACCCCGCACAUGCACGUGCCCAGGCCGACGAACAGUACGGGGAUUGGCCACGGACGGAGACGAGUGCAGGCGCAGGAGCAGGAGAAUCUGUGGCGGCGACGGAUCUGGUGA